UCCGCGUGGUGUACUGUGUUAUCUGGAGAAUCGCCAUGCUUUAUCAGGCAACGUAUUGUUAAUCCAUACUUUGUUAAUUUCAUUAAAUAAUUCUUUUACGAAGUAACGAAACACACUUCAGACUCAAACUAUAGACACAGGAAGUAACAAUAAAUCAGCGAACACACAAUGGAGUAAGCGUGUUUGUGCUUCCUAAUGUACAAACCGAGAGAAUAGACGAGGUUUGGAAUUAGGGAAGCGACCCGAUACAUUAUUUUAAAUGUUUACAGUGAUAAACACGCGGAAAAGACGGCACUAUAUCUAUCGUUACAAAGAACUUGUCGAUUCCCAUAGACUUCAAUCGGCUUUACAAAGAUCAAAGAGAUUUUUAUAGGAGCUAUUAACAUUUUCUUUAUUUUUCCAUUUUUCUAAAAAACUUUGUAUGUUACCAAUUGUUAAACCUGUAGCUUACUUUUAAUUAUCGGUGAUGUUCUUUGACUUUGGUUAAGUUUUGAUCAAUGUAGAAUAGAAAACAGAAUAAUGCCGCAGAACCAACAUACAACGGUAAAUUGUCAGAGUCAAAAAACAAAAUUAAUGAACAACAACAGGUACUGAGAAGACACGGAAAACAAACGGAAAAACAACAGAAACUCGGAAUACAGUGGAGAGCAACAACAGAAAAUGAGAAUAGAGGGAAUGUGCAAAAAGGAAGACGACAACAAAAACUGAAGAUAAAGAGAGAGAACAAAAAGGAGGAAGACAAAAGAAAAUGAGGAUACAUUGAUAACAAAGAUAGUGCCAGGAUCUGACCGAUAUGUUGAGGGGAGGAGUGAAGUAGCCAAACAAACAUCCUUAGCGAUGGAGAACAAAAGCUGGCACGAAAAUUCAACAAUGUCAAUCAAGGAAAGGUCCAUGGAAAGAGGAAACAAACGAACCCUUCAACAAAGCAACAAAAUUUGAAACGAAACCAGCAGCACUUGGAGGGUGAGCAAUCGGGAUGCUCUGAUUUGUCCGAACACUCGCGAAAUGCAGACCAUAUUGACACAAUCAAAUAACUGUCUUAAUUGUGACGCAGAAUGUUGCUGAUGACUACGAUGAAUACCUUAAACCGAUGGCACAGGGUACAUUCCUGGUUACUGCAGCAUUGGCAGGGACAUUUCUCUACGGUAGCAGAAUGUCAAAGCGUAACAUGGUGGACAGUUAUCUAACGGCGCAUCUGGACGAUUAACCGGCAAUUAUCGCUAUAAUUACAACGGUGUGGUUAUUUCUAUGAUGAAUGCAGCAAUUUACAGGAUAUUCCCACUGAAAGGUCACUACUGUUAUUACCACAGCCUCCUUAUACAGGACAGAUGGAUGUAUGGGGUUUAGUUGUCGCAAUGGUGAUAAAAAUACUAUUGCAAUACAGCUUUGUAUUAUUUCCAUUUUUAUUGUUUGUAUAUUGAACACAAAAUUAAUUUAUGAAAUAUAAAAGAAAUGGUUUGAUUUGUUUUCGAUAUUUUUGAAAUAAAUGAGAUGUAUCUUAUAUCCCUGUUUUGCACGCAAUGGCGACAUGUGGGACAUCAAUGUUGUACUUUCGCCUGCUUUGAUUCUCUGUUGUAACAUUCAUUAAGGACACUCAUGUAACAUAGAGGGACACGCAUCAUUGGAAACAGAAAGUGGAUAAAUAUUUUAAAGCACAAUUAAAUUAUGUCGUUUUGUGUUACCUUUUUGUAAUCGGUACAAUAGUUCGUUCGUUAUCAUACAACUGUAGUGUUAUCUUUAGAAAUUUACAAA
RNAcentral lists this long non-coding RNA (1752 nucleotides) under Mizuhopecten yessoensis (Yesso scallop). RNAcentral's name for it is "uncharacterized LOC110464151". Lineage: Eukaryota; Metazoa; Mollusca; Bivalvia; Pectinida; Pectinidae. The record is from RNAcentral.